GCCAGGUAUGGUGGCGCACGCCUGUAAUCCCAGCUGCUUGUGAGGCUGAGGCAGGAGGAUCAGGAGUUCAAAGCCAGCCUUAGCAACUCAGGGAGGCCCUAAGCAACUUAAUGAGACCCUGUCUCUA
Molecule: small RNA, 127 nt
Filed under: Marmota monax (woodchuck)
Lineage: Eukaryota; Metazoa; Chordata; Mammalia; Rodentia; Sciuridae
Source: RNAcentral